RNAcentral lists this unclassified non-coding RNA (196 nucleotides) under Glomus sp. Its description in RNAcentral is "partial contains 5.8S ribosomal RNA and internal transcribed spacer 2". The stretch from base 1 to 72 matches the Rfam family "5.8S ribosomal RNA", at positions 84 to 154 of the family's 154-position model. Lineage: Eukaryota; Fungi; Glomeromycota; Glomeromycetes; Glomerales; Glomeraceae. The record is from RNAcentral.
GUGAAUCAUCAAAUCUUUGAACGCAAAUUGCACUCUCCGGUUUUCCGGGAGAGUAUGCCUGUUUGAGGGUCAGCCUAAAAAAAAUCGAUAUUGUUGCUGGUUUGUGGUGACUUUCGUCGGAGAUGGGUCAUCUUAAAUCUCGGAUUAAGCGACUUAAUAAUAUUCUUUACGAUUCUAAGAUUGUUUCUAAGAUUUU